UACGUAGGGUGCAAGCGUUGUCCGGAAUUAUUGGGCGUAAAGGGCUCGUAGGCGGUCCAUCACGUCGGGAGUGAAAAGCUGGGGCUUAACCCCAGUCCUGCUUCCGAUACGGGUGGACUAGAGGUAGGCAGGGGAGAACGGAAUUCCUGGUGUAGCGGUGAAAUGCGCAGAUAUCAGGAGGAACACCGGUGGCGAAGGCGGUUCUCUGGGCCUUACCUGACGCUGAGGUGCGAAAGCGUGGGGAGCAAACAGG
RNAcentral lists this ribosomal RNA (253 nucleotides) under uncultured bacterium. RNAcentral describes it as "partial 16S ribosomal RNA". It matches the Rfam family "Bacterial small subunit ribosomal RNA", at positions 524 to 776 of the family's 1533-position model. The record is from RNAcentral.